GACGAACGCUGGCGGCGUGCCUAACACAUGCAAGUCACGGGGGCCCGCAAGGGUAACCGGCGAACGGGUGCGUAACACGUGAGCAAUCUGCCGUACUCUGGGGGAUAGCCGGCCCAACGGCCGGGUAAUACCGCAUACGCUUGUCGAGUGGCAUCGCUUGACAAGGAAACCUCCGGGGGAGUACGAGGAGCUCGCGGCCUAUCAGCUAGUUGGUGGGGUAACGGCCUACCAAGGCAUUGACGGGUAGCUGGUCUGAGAGGAUGGCCAGCCACAUUGGGACUGAGAUACGGCCCAGACUCCUACGGGAGGCAGCAGUGGGGAAUAUUGCGCAAUGGCCGCAAGGCUGACGCAGCGACGCCGCGUGGGGGAUGAAGCAUUUCGGUGUGUAAACCCCUGUUGCUCGGGACGAACAAGCCUUUUCGAGGGCUCUGACGGUACCGAGUGAGGAAGCACCGGCUAACUCCGUGCCAGCAGCCGCCGUAA
RNAcentral lists this ribosomal RNA (483 nucleotides) under uncultured bacterium. RNAcentral describes it as "partial 16S ribosomal RNA". It matches the Rfam family "Bacterial small subunit ribosomal RNA", at positions 28 to 523 of the family's 1533-position model. The record is from RNAcentral.